Long non-coding RNA from Spinacia oleracea (spinach), 1806 nucleotides. RefSeq lists it as uncharacterized. The transcript has 5 exons. Lineage: Eukaryota; Viridiplantae; Streptophyta; Magnoliopsida; Caryophyllales; Amaranthaceae. The record is from RefSeq and is a predicted model, not a curated record.
CACCUAAAAAAAAGUAAACUUGUUUUUUGCCACCUGAAAAACGAAAAAAUAGAUGAAAUCUUUAUGCGUGACUUCCUAUUACAAUUCCCCUUCAAUUUUUUACCCCCACUUUGUGAUUUUCUUUAACUCUUUCACCUUUAUAUCUUUAUUUUUAUUAAAUUUUAUUAAUUUAAUGAAUUAAUAGUGGUGUAAAAUUAUGUGAAUUUAUGGAAGAUAAAAAAGUGGGGGAAAAGAAGAGAGUCAAAUACAUGAAAUAGUUGAAGAAGAGAACAUAUCAUAAAUAUUACCAUUAUUGUGGCCUUCCACAUAACAUUUUCAUCUAUUUUUCCAUUAAUCAGGUGGUAAAAAACAAGUUUUAAAAAAAAAUAGGUGGUAAAAUACAAGUUUUAGUUUUUUAGGUGGUAAAAAAUAAUAUUUUGUUUUUUUAGGUGGUAAAAAACAAUUUAUCCUAAUCCUACCCCUUUAAAAAGCAAGGAGUGCCUUCCAAACUCCCCCUUAAGAAUAGUGGAAUGACCUCCAUACCCUUACAUUCCUUCAGGAUUUACCGAUAUGCCAUUUCCUUUCCUUACACACAUGAUCGGCCAACUGUCUGUUUUCAUUAAGCAAGAACCCCUUCUCCCACUUCUCUGCUUCAGUGCUUCCUUUCUUCUUUCUUUCACCCGUGUUUCAACAAACCCUAGCUCUGUCCCCAUCUUCUCUCUCCUCCCCCAUUCUUCUUUAUCUCUCCUUCAUUGUUCUGUCUUGCUACAUCCAUCUUCUGAUAUUCCAACCAAUAUGUUUUCUCUCACCUUCUAACUCCUCUACUGCUUUCAGAAUGCUUCCCAUUUUCUAUCUGCUACUAAUAUAUCUUCUGUUCAGGAUUCAUCACGGCAAGAACGAAAUACGAAAGGAAUGAAACCCGAGAAGCCAAGACAAUUCCAUGGCGAGCUCUUGACCCGUUUUCCUGCAAGGUAUCAAAGAAAGAUAAACGAAGAAAAUGAGGCAUUGGUUGUGGCAUUGAAUACCGAGAGUUUGCGGAAAUCCUCAAUCAUUGCCACAGUUUCCUUCUCGAAUUCAAGUUAGAUUUAUGAGAAUUGAAGACGUUAAUAAGUGAAUAACAAUUCAAAGAAUGGUGACAUUAAGAUAAUUCAAAAUCUCAGUGGUUCUCAUUACAGCUCCUUUUAAAUUCUACGGAGUACUGCAUAAGGUGGGAUAAAGAGAUAUAAGGGGGGAUUGCACUUUUCUUUUUCUGGAUUCUAACUUACUAAAAGAAUUGGGGGGAGGAGAAAUAGACGGCAAAAUCUAAAGUUCUCAAAUCUCUCUCUGCCUGUCAAGUUAUAUAAAACUCUCUCCCUAGAAGAAGAACAACAGGCACUCAAAUCAAACGUGCCGUUCCAUUCUAGAAGAUCAACCUUGGACGAGAUCAAGCUCGAAGGCCCUUAUUCAAGAAGAUCAAACAACCCGUUCGCGAGCAACAUCAAAUCGACAUCAAAUUAUCCUGGUGGAAGAAGAACAACAAACAUACAAAAUGACGUGCCGUUCUAUUCUACACCAACAUUCUUGAACGAGAUCAAGCCCGAAGUCCCUUAUUCAAGAAUCAAAUACAAUCAGUUCGCGAACCAAAUCAAAUCAGUUUGUGAGCCAAGUCAAAUUCAACGUGGAGAUCGAAUCAGAGGAACAAAUAUUAGAGAUUGUACCCGAAAUACAUAAAUCAAUAAAAUAUAUUUUGUUCACAUUAUUUUGAGUUUAUUACUUUUAUAGACUCUGAAAUUUGUGUUUACACGUACGUAUAAAGUCAAUACAAACACGAAUUUAACCAAACUAUAU